Molecule: long non-coding RNA, 838 nt
Organism: Siniperca chuatsi (mandarin fish)
Lineage: Eukaryota; Metazoa; Chordata; Actinopteri; Centrarchiformes; Sinipercidae
Exons: 2
Source: RefSeq, a predicted model, not a curated record
CUAUUCUGUUCUGUUCUGCUCUGUUUCUGCUUCCAUCCCUGUUCCGUUCUCUUCUGUUCUGUUCCGUUCUGGCCCGUUCUGUUUUGCCUUGCUCUGUUCUGCUCUCUCCUCUUUUGUUCCGUUCUGUCCUGCUCUUUUCUGUCUUGUUCUUUCCUCUUUCUACUCUGCUCUGCUUUGUUUUGUUCUGUUUGAUUCUCUAUAGCUAUAAAAAUCAAACUUUACUCUUUCAUCUGGCUACAACCAAUACACUCAGUAUAUUUAGCCUUAAUUAAUCUGAGCUCCUUAGAAUAUUGAUUGAUUGGCAUUUAUCAUAAUGUCAACUGAUCUAAUCUGACACAUUCUAUUCUCAUCAAAAGAAAAAUGUAUCCAUCCUUCAAUCCAAGAUGCUCAGACUGUUUGCUGAUUGUUGUUCACUGUGGGUAUUGCUCUAUUCUACUUUGUUGUAUGAAUCAAUAAUAAUAUUCUAUUCUAUUCUACUCAGGUGGGCAGCUCUGCUCCAGCCUGGGAGCUCCUCUGACUGUCUGUCUCAGCAGAUCACCGUCUGUGGUUCAUCACACCGGCGACCUGCGGCACCGGGGACCCAGGUGCUAAAGCAGUAACCCACACCCCCUCCCUCCUCCUCAACCUCCUCCACGCUCCAAAUCUCCUUUUGGAUUCCACAGGGAGGAAGAGGAGGGCGCUCCAGCGGCCGCAACGAGAACUGCGCUUUAAACAUGAAAAUUUAAACCAUCAACUCCUUUAAUCUCACAACUGAGUUCAUCUUAAACGCAGAACAUUCUGUAGCAGGUUAUGGUUGUAAAUCUUUUAAAAUACUGAAUAAAAGUCCUACAAAAUGGCA